UACAGAGGGUGCGAGCGUUGUUCGGAAUUACUGGGCGUAAAGCGCGUGUAGGCGGCGGGAUAAGUCGCAUGUGAAAGCCCUCGGCUCAACCGAGGAAGUGCAUGCGAUACUGUUUCGCUUGAAUGCCGGAGGGGAUGGCGGAAUUCCCGGUGUAGAGGUGAAAUUCGUAGAUAUCGGGGGGAACACCUGUGGCGAAGGCGGCCAUCUGGACGGCAAUUGACGCUGAGACGCGAAAGCGUGGGUAGCAAACAGG
This 253-nucleotide ribosomal RNA is filed under the name uncultured bacterium. Its description in RNAcentral is "partial 16S ribosomal RNA". It matches the Rfam family "Bacterial small subunit ribosomal RNA", at positions 524 to 776 of the family's 1533-position model. The record is from RNAcentral.